AUUGAACGCUGGCGGCAGGCCUAACACAUGCAAGUCGAACGGUAACAGGAAGAAUCUUGCUUCUUUGCUGACGAGUGGCGGACGGGUGAGUAAUGUCUGGGAAACUGCCUGAUGGAGGGGGAUAACUACUGGAAACGGUAGCUAAUACCGCAUAACGUCGCAAGACCAAAGAGGGGGACCUUCGGGCCUCUUGCCAUCGGAUAUGCCCAGAUGGGAUUAGCUAGUAGGUGGGGUAACGGCUCACCUAGGCGACGAUCCCUAGCUGGUCUGAGAGGAUGACCAGCCACACUGGAACUGAGACACGGUCCAGACUCCUACGGGAGGCAGCAGUGGGGAAUAUUGCACAAGGGGCGAAAGCCUGAUGCAGCCAUGCCGCGUGUAUGAAGAAGGACUUCGGGUUGUAAAGUACUUUCAGCGGGGAGGAAGGGAGUAAAGUUAAUACCUUUGCUCAUUGACGUUACCCGCAGAAGAAGCACCGGCUAACUCCGUG
This 490-nucleotide ribosomal RNA is filed under the name uncultured bacterium. RNAcentral's name for it is "partial 16S ribosomal RNA". It matches the Rfam family "Bacterial small subunit ribosomal RNA", at positions 30 to 507 of the family's 1533-position model. The record is from RNAcentral.